GUGAGCGGGGUGGCUGGCUGCUGCUUGGUGUAUCAGUGUGAACGGCGCUCCGACAGCCGCCACCCGCGCGCGCACUGCCCUCUGACCUAGUUCAUACCGGUGGUGGUGGUGGUGCCCUGCCGCGGCCCUUCGGACGGUGUGUGACCCUGCCGCCCUGCACCAAUGUCCGCCCCGGCCUGUGCCCCCGCGUAGGUGCUAUGCUGAGGGGUGGGGCGACGUCGGUGGCUGACCGUGGCGGUGAUGGUUUGACCAGUCUACGUGUCCGAGAAGCGGGUCCUCCUCCUCCUCCUCCUCUUCUUCCUCCUUCCUCCUCCUUCUCCUCUUUCUCUUCCUUCUUUUCCUUCCUCUUCUCUUCCUCUUCUCCAUCCUGUUCCUUCGGCUCCUCCCGCUGCUGUUGCUGUUGUCGUUCGCCUCCACGCUCCUCCGACAGAUGGGCGGCAGGUGUUUGUGAUGUGAGAACGCUGGUAAGAAUGAUUGUAA
This is a long non-coding RNA of Eriocheir sinensis (Chinese mitten crab), 480 nucleotides long. RefSeq lists it as uncharacterized. NCBI's taxonomy places the organism in Eukaryota, Metazoa, Arthropoda, Malacostraca, Decapoda, Varunidae. The transcript is spliced from 3 exons. The record is from RefSeq and is a predicted model, not a curated record.